GCUUAUCAAGUUUUCUGUUUAUUCUUAGCAAUAUUCACUGAUUUGCAUAGGCUAACAUAUUGGAUUAAUUGUCAAUAGUUGUAUAGCAUGCUAUCAAAGUAGUAUGAACAGAUAAUCAGACCAUUGAUAUGGUUUAUAUUGAAGAUUAUUUAAGCUCAAGCUCAUUAGGAGAUACAAUGUUGAUUAGAAGUCCUCCUAAAAAAAUCAAGUUGAGGAACGUCGUCUUGCCCAAGUAAGAAUCGGCAGUCUUGCCUCUAAUAUUUAAGUCAUUCUAUACAGAUGUAAUUCAAAGAUAUUUGGAGCUAUAUACACUUGUCAAUUGCUAAUUUCUCAUCUCUGCUCAAUAUUUCAUCAUUCCUCCCUCCAGAUGUUCAAAGAUAACCUAAAGAGCGGCCCUAGAAGUGAAAAGGUCAUAAACAAAUACGCACGCACUAAAAGUCUGUCAGAUGGCCGAAGACGUGACAUGGUGAAAAUCUUUUGUCACAUUUGACAAAUGAACAUGGAACAAGCCCUUCCCCAAGUUUAAACGAAGAAUGUGCAAAGGGAAUCAUCUCCCUAUUCCCAUACUUGGUUGACCCCAGGAUCAAGUUUGGUUAUGUUGGGACAGCGACAUGUCCUCCAUUCUGGUGCUGGUUCACCUUUUGCCACCCUCAAGUCAACGCCGCCAAAGACUGGGAAAGAUCUCUGCUAGACAAGCAUGUGAUCGUCUUGUGAAAUUCAUCAAGACUGUUACCAGUAUCCAAGGGCACUUGGAUAGCAUUGGAGAGUCUCCAGCUGUAUCUACUUGUUGUUGGGCUAAAAAGAAGUAGGGUCCAGUCUUGUGUUAUUGUAAUUGUCCAACAUGCUCUACCCUGUAAGGCCUCUAAUUCACUGGCCUGUGUUGAUGAGUUUUUCAAAGCCAACUUUGUUUUAAGAACUUCAUACUGUCAGGAAUUGACCAUUGUGUAUAGCUUUCUGCAAAACACUGCCUAUGAUAUAGAUGCUGAAACCAUCAAGUGAUCAUGAUCACAAGUGAAUCAAAUGUAA
Molecule: long non-coding RNA, 1026 nt
Organism: Onychostoma macrolepis
Lineage: Eukaryota; Metazoa; Chordata; Actinopteri; Cypriniformes; Cyprinidae
Exons: 4
Source: RefSeq, a predicted model, not a curated record